AAUCUCUUGGCUGAUUAAGCAGCUGUUUUGAAAGCAGCACAAGGUUGUUGAACCAACCAGAGAUUU
Molecule: transfer RNA, 66 nt
Filed under: Branchinella kugenumaensis
Lineage: Eukaryota; Metazoa; Arthropoda; Branchiopoda; Anostraca; Thamnocephalidae
Description: tRNA-Ser2
Source: RNAcentral